Molecule: transfer RNA, 72 nt
Organism: Aspergillus aculeatus ATCC 16872
Lineage: Eukaryota; Fungi; Ascomycota; Eurotiomycetes; Eurotiales; Aspergillaceae
Rfam family: tRNA
About the family: Transfer RNA (tRNA) molecules are approximately 80 nucleotides in length. Their secondary structure includes four short double-helical elements and three loops (D, anti-codon, and T loops). Further hydrogen bonds mediate the characteristic L-shaped molecular structure. tRNAs have two regions of fundamental functional importance: the anti-codon, which is responsible for specific mRNA codon recognition, and the 3' end, to which the tRNAs corresponding amino acid is attached (by aminoacyl-tRNA synthetases). tRNAs cope with the degeneracy of the genetic code in two manners: having more than one tRNA (with a specific anti-codon) for a particular amino acid; and 'wobble' base-pairing, i.e. permitting non-standard base-pairing at the 3rd anti-codon position.
Source: Rfam
GGUUGUGUAGUGUAAUGGUUAGCACCCGGGAUUUUGAUUCCCGUAAUCCCGGUUCGAUCCCGGGCAUGACCU